This is a non-coding RNA of Candidatus Giovannonibacteria bacterium, 378 nucleotides long. The record is from Rfam. NCBI's taxonomy places the organism in Bacteria, Candidatus Giovannoniibacteriota.
UGAAUGCGUUGGGUGAUCGCUCCCGUCUGAUUGCGAAGCUUUCGUCGGGGGAGGAAAGUCCGAACACCCCUUAAAUUUUUAAGGAUGUAGGCAGUGGGUAACGCCCACCUUCCGAAAUAAUAUUCGGAACGGGACAGUGCCACAGAGACAAUACUAACCGCGAUUAAUAUCGAGGUGAAAGGUGAAAAGUAUCCUUCAAAAGGAUUCGCUCCGAACGCAAGGUCGGAGCGUGGAAAACCCUGCCUGGUGCAAGGCCGUGCUCCGACCUAUGUCGGAGAGUGCCGCUUCAGACCCGCCGUAAGACGGGAUCGAGAUAAAUGAUCACACAUCUGCCGAAGAGGCAGAGGACAGAAUUCGGCUUAUAGACGCAUCUCUAAA